UACGUAGGGUGCGAGCGUUAAUCGGAAUUACUGGGCGUAAAGCGUGCGCAGGCGGUUUCGUAAGACAGAUGUGAAAUCCCCGGGCUUAACCUGGGAACUGCGUUUGUGACUGCGAGACUUGAGUGCGGCAGAGGGGGGUGGAAUUCCACGUGUAGCAGUGAAAUGCGUAGAGAUGUGGAGGAACACCGAUGGCGAAGGCAGCCCCCUGGGUCGACACUGACGCUCAUGCACGAAAGCGUGGGGAGCAAACAGGAUUAGAAACCCUAGUAGUCC
RNAcentral lists this ribosomal RNA (273 nucleotides) under uncultured prokaryote. Its description in RNAcentral is "partial 16S ribosomal RNA". It matches the Rfam family "Bacterial small subunit ribosomal RNA", at positions 524 to 796 of the family's 1533-position model. The record is from RNAcentral.